This 33-nucleotide ribosomal RNA is filed under the name Pseudopediastrum brevicorne. RNAcentral describes it as "partial 28S ribosomal RNA". Lineage: Eukaryota; Viridiplantae; Chlorophyta; Chlorophyceae; Sphaeropleales; Hydrodictyaceae. The record is from RNAcentral.
GACCUGAGCUCAGGCAAGAUUACCCACUGAACU